This 497-nucleotide ribosomal RNA is filed under the name uncultured bacterium. Its description in RNAcentral is "partial 16S ribosomal RNA". It matches the Rfam family "Bacterial small subunit ribosomal RNA", at positions 28 to 507 of the family's 1533-position model. The record is from RNAcentral.
GAUGGACGCUGGCGGCGUGCCUAAUACAUGCAAGUCGAGCGAACAGAUAAGGAGCUUGCUCCUUUUACGUUAGCGGCGGACGGGUGAUUAACACGUGGCUAACCUACCUAUAAGACUGGAAUAACUCCGGGAAACCGGGGCUAAUGCCGGAUAACAUUUAGAACCGCAUGGUUCUAAAGUGAAAGAUUGUUUUGCUAUCACUUAUAGAUGGACCCGCGCCGUAUUAGCUAGUUGGUAAGGUAACGGCUUACCAAGGCAACGAUACGUAGCCGACCGGAGAGGGUGAUAGGCCACACGGGAACUGAGCCACGGACAAGAGGCCUAAGGGAGGCAGCAGUAGGCAACGUGAGGCAACGGGCGAAAGUCUGACGGAGUAAGGGCGAGUGAGAGAUGAAGGUCUCCGGAUCGUAAAACCCGGCUACGAGGGAAGAACAAAUGUGUACGGAAAUGUGCACGUAUUGACGGUACCUAAUCAGAAAGCCCCGGCUAACUACGUG